Molecule: ribosomal RNA, 422 nt
Filed under: Laparocerus sp. AMC 4003
Lineage: Eukaryota; Metazoa; Arthropoda; Insecta; Coleoptera; Curculionidae
Description: partial 16S ribosomal RNA
Source: RNAcentral
GGUAAUUUGACCGUGCAAAGGUAGCAUAAUCAUUAGUUUUUUAAUUGAAAGCUGGAAUGAAAGGUUGGAUGAGAAAAAAGCUGUCUCUAUUUAAUUUAUUUAGAAUUUUAUUUUUAAGUUAAAAAGCUUAAAUUUGAAUAGAAGACGAGAAGACCCUGUAGAGUUUUAUUAUUUUUAUUUUAUAAAAAUAAUAGUAUUUUUUAUUUUUGUAGAAAAAAUUAAUUUGGUUGGGGUGAUUGAAAAAUUUAAUUAACUUUUUUUUAUGGUUACAUUUAUAUAUGAAUAUAUGAUCCUUAAUUUGAGAUUAUAAGAUAAAAUUACCUUAGGGAUAACAGCGUAAUUUUUUUUGAGAGUUCUAAUCGAAAAAAAAGAUUGCGACCUCGAUGUUGGAUUAAAAUAAAAUUUUGGUGUAGAAGCUAAAA